RNAcentral lists this ribosomal RNA (751 nucleotides) under Cetrariella commixta. RNAcentral describes it as "LSU rRNA". It matches the Rfam family "Eukaryotic large subunit ribosomal RNA", at positions 221 to 936 of the family's 3401-position model. Lineage: Eukaryota; Fungi; Ascomycota; Lecanoromycetes; Lecanorales; Parmeliaceae. The record is from RNAcentral.
CCGUAUGUGACUGUGGCUCGAGCCCAUGUGAAGCCUCUUCGACGAGUCGAGUUGUUUGGGAAUGCAGCUCAAAAUGGGUGGUAAAUUUCAUCUAAAGCUAAAUACUGGCUGGAGACCGAUAGCGCACAAGUAGAGUGAUCGAAAGAUGAAAAGCACUUUGGAAAGAGAGUCAAACAGUACGUGAACUUGUUGAAAGGGAAGCGCUUGCAACCAGACCUGCCCGUAGGUGAUCAGCCGCUGUUUUCAGUGGUGCACUCGCUCUGCGAUCAGGCCAGCAUCGGUUCUGGCGGUCGGAUAAAGGCCUUGGGAAUGUAGCUCCCUCCGGGGAGUCUUAUAGCCCUCGGUGCAAUGCGGCCAGCUGGGACCGAGGACCGCGCUUCGGCUAGGAUGCUGGCGUAAUGGUUGUAAGCGACCCGUCUUGAAACACGGACCAAGGAGUCUAAAACUUACGCGAGUGUUUGGGUGUUAAACCCAUACGCGGAAUGAAAGUGAACGGAGGUGAGAACCCUUAAGGGCGCAUCAUCGACCGAUCCAGAUGUCUUCGGAUGGAUUUGAGUAUCAGCGUAAUUUUUGGGACCCGAAAGGCAAGUGCCCCCCGAGAGGAUCAUCUAGAAUUUUUAGCUAAUACGUGUUACAGACAGUGAACUAUGCCUGAAUAGGGUGAAGCCAGAGGAAACUCUGGUGGAGGCUCGCAGCGGUUCUGACGUGCAAAUCGAUCGUCAAAUUUGGGUAUAGGGGCGAAAGACUAAUC